AGUGAACGCUGGCGGUAGGCCUAACACAUGCAAGUCGAACGGCAGCACAGUAAGAGCUUGCUCUUACGGGUGGCGAGUGGCGGACGGGUGAGGAAUACAUCGGAAUCUACUUUUUCGUGGGGGAUAACGUAGGGAAACUUACGCUAAUAUUGCAUACGACCUACGGGUGAAAGCAGGGGAUCUUCGGACCUUGCGCGUUUGAAUGAGCCGAUGUCGGAUUAGCUAGUUGGCGGGGUAAAGGCCCACCAAGGCGACGAUCCGUAGCUUGCCUGAGAGGAUGAUGAGCCAGCCUGGAACAGAGACACGGUACAGGGUCCUACGGGAGGCAGCAGUGGCAAAUAUUGGACAAUGGGCGCAAGCCUGAUCCAUCCAUACCGCGUGGGUGACGAAGGCAUUCGGGUUGUAAAGCCCUUUUGUUGGGAUAGAAACGCAGCAGGUUAAUACCCCGCUGUUCUGACGGUACCCAAAGAAUAAGCACCGGCUAACUUCGUG
RNAcentral lists this ribosomal RNA (492 nucleotides) under uncultured bacterium. RNAcentral's name for it is "partial 16S ribosomal RNA". It matches the Rfam family "Bacterial small subunit ribosomal RNA", at positions 29 to 507 of the family's 1533-position model. The record is from RNAcentral.